UGGGAAGUAUUGCACAAUGGGCGCAAGCCUGAUGCAGCCAUGCCGCGUGUGUGAAGAAGGCCUUCGGGUUGUAAAGCACUUUCAGCGAGGAGGAAGGUGGUGAACUUAAUACGUUCAUCAAUUGACGUUACUCGCAGAAGAAGCACCGGCUAACUCCGUGCCAGCAGCCGCGGUAAUACGGAGGGUGCAAGCGUUAAUCGGAAUUACUGGGCGUAAAGCGCACGCAGGCGGUCUGUCAAGUCGGAUGUGAAAUCCCCGGGCUCAACCUGGGAACUGCAUUCGAAACUGGCAGGCUAGAGUCUUGUAGA
This 308-nucleotide ribosomal RNA is filed under the name uncultured Enterobacteriaceae bacterium. RNAcentral's name for it is "bacterial SSU rRNA". It matches the Rfam family "Bacterial small subunit ribosomal RNA", at positions 355 to 655 of the family's 1533-position model. The record is from RNAcentral. Lineage: Bacteria; Pseudomonadati; Pseudomonadota; Gammaproteobacteria; Enterobacterales; Enterobacteriaceae.